This is a non-coding RNA of Odocoileus virginianus texanus, 1635 nucleotides long. Lineage: Eukaryota; Metazoa; Chordata; Mammalia; Artiodactyla; Cervidae. The record is from RefSeq and is a predicted model, not a curated record.
GAGGCGGUUUGUGAAAAGACGUUUACAGCUCUAAGUUACAGAGGUUCGAGUACAGGUGUUUGAGCAGAAAAGUGACAUGAUCUGACACAUUUAGCCACACAGGCGGCUGCAGUGGAAUAGCCCCAACCUGAGAAUGGAUCAAACAAAAUGGAAACUUCCAUGUGAUGUAAAGAUAAAAUAUUGAAUAGUUCUUCAAUCUGAGAACACAUUUUUCAGUUGAAUUUUCAGUCUUGUCAGUCCUCAAUCACUUGUUUUAACCUCUAUUUCAAUUUUUAAAAACCACCAAAAGACCAUUAAAGGAUAGUAAAUAAUGUGGGAUGCCCAUUAAUAUGGGUGAGCAGCAAUGAAGUUUGUACCUUGAUCAGAGAAAUAUAACCAGAGAAUGAUGUAAAACAAUACAUGAUUACAUAGUCAUCACCUGUGGUUUGAAGGCAAAAGAAUUGCACAUAUAUUCAAAUGAUUUGGAUAUAUUGACAAAAAACAUACUGGAUGAUUGCAGCUGAUGUCAAAAUAAUUGUUUCUUUCAUCUACUAUUUGAAUGGUGACUGAUGGAGAAAUCAUUCACGAUAAUAUGCUCCAGAAGGAAAAUAUACCCACCCAGCUAUUGUUUCGGCUCCUUAAAUCAUAUUUUUACUUUGUCUGAUAAAAAGGCUCAUUUACCUUGGAAAUAGCAAAUGUGUCUGCUACAAAAUGGGUUUCCUGAUGUCAAGUAAGAUAAAUAUCAGGCCAAGGGCCCAUAGCUUUCUUAUAUAUUAAUAACUAAAUACAGAAAUUUGAAGCAUUAACAAUGGCAUUCCUCCAGGAAAAAGGGGGGGUUGUCAUUUACUCAUCAGAUAUUUAUUGAAAACCUAUAUAUAUCAGAAACUGGUAUUAGAGCUGGAGCUGCAAUAUGAACAACAGAAAUUCCUACCCUUGGCUCACAUUGAUCCUAAAUAACUGUGUCUUUGCAAGAAAGAACUGAGUGGCCAUUUCCACUGUCUGACUUCAGUCAUUGUAAACGUACCACAAAGUAGGAUGAGUAUCGUACAUACCGUUGAAUUCAACACCAUCUGGAAAUGCUACUAUGCAAACUCCAGCAUCAAAUAUGAGCCAGGUGAUGUACUCACAUCCCUUCUCAGCCUCAUAAAUAAAUACUCCAGGUAGGUGCUACUCUUUCCCUAUAAUACAUCCUUAUAGCUCACAAUGCAUAAAAUGACUUCAUCCAAUCAAAUGCCAUGGCAGAUCUGAGUUUUCACUUGGUUGUUGGAACAGUUUUGGAAAAGUCUGUCAGGGAAAUAGUACUGUUUAAAGCCUGUGGCUGGAAUAAGUGUUGUUCUUUUGUACCAGUACUUCUAGAAGAUUUAAGGGCUUCUGGGAAUCUUAUGUAAAUUGGCAGUUUCAGAUCCUCUGAGAAAUCAUCUGAUGCAGUUCCCUGUCUGUAGUGCAUUCUCUCCUAGUUAGAGAGUAUGUCUGGCACCAGAGAGUAUUUUGACAGAAAUCUUGCUUCUGAUGUAUAUUUGUUAAGUUUCCCUCUAGGUGUUUUUUUUAAGGAUACAGAUGCCUGUUGUUUUUCAUGACUUAUUGAAUAAAUAGAACACAAGAGGAGGUUUGAUUUCUUAAAUAAGGAAAGCAUUAAAGUCCAUGCACUUAAACAUA